UGAAUCUCACUUUCACGUGGUGGUAAAACAUGAAGUGGACUCAAACCCCUCCACAAGAGUUACCCUACGCGCCUCUCCCACAGAGGUAAAAUAAAUUAGCCGGGUUUAUCGAGCCCUUCUAAUAGGAUGGUCCACGGAAACCCACCACUGCAGUGUAGGUCAGCCCCACCAUAAUCAUAAAAUAGUUUAACAGCAUAACAAGGUAAUUUUUUUAUAAUAACUAAUUUGCACGACAAACCACAAUUCAUGUAAUUUCAAUACAAUAAACCAGCCAAGCAUGCUCACACUAUCAUAAGCCAUUUGAAUUAAAAAUACAAUUCAUACUUAACAACCACAGUCUCCAUGUACUCUAUUUAAAAAAAAUAACAUUCAUCAUUAAUUUCAAACAAUUUAUAAAACCAUUUUAUAAAAACACAUUUAUUUAUAAAACACGAAAUUUAUCCUUUUUAAAUCCAUUUUUCAUAAAAUUUAUAAAAUUUCAUAAAAACUACCUUAGAUAAAUUAAAUGAUAAUAAGUUUACUCACAGUAUUAGGAGUAGAAAUACUUCUAUCCUCCGCCCUCGGGUGCAGUCUCUUAUCCGAAACAAUUGACUCACCACCUGUCCAUAAUCCAUGACACAAAAUUCAAUAAAUUGUGUCAAUUUAUCAUAAAUUAUUUCAGGCUCUUAUCCAUGCGUAUGCACUAGAUAGGAUUUGAAAUGUCUAGACAAUCGCUUAAUUGCGGUGUCCGACCUAACUCGCCUAUACACGGUGUAAAGUCCUAAAAUCCCCAAUUCGACUCCAAUUCCAUCCAUUUCAAUUUCAAUUAUCCAAUUAUAUCCACAAUACCUCAAUGACUGUGAAUUUGGUCCAAUUUAUCAGUCCGGACUAUAAAUUACGCUUUUACCCCUAGUGGGUAAAAAUUUCAAUUUAUUGCACCGAAAAUUCCCAUUUAAUUUCCAACCUCAUAAUUCAUCAUUUUUCCACCCAAUUCUCUUAAAAUAAAGUCAACCUCAUCCUCACAUACCAUUGGCUAGAUUCGGCCUAGAGAAAUUCAUGGAGAAGAUAAAUAUUUUUCUUGUUGUUUUACUCAUAAACAUGCUAAACUAACACUAAACACUAACAUAGCUCAAAAUCAAAUUUAUCUAACAACUUUCUCUCUCUAAACCCAUAUGACCAGAAUUCAAAUCAUCCUCAAAUCACAUGAUUCAACCAUGAAAAAUGAUGGAAAAUGCAUGGGAAAGGUAAAGCACAAGACAAAUUUAAGAAAUGUUACCUUUUUUCACUUGAUUUUUGAAUUUCCACCUAUUUUCCCUUUAAAUUUCUUGGCUAGGGUUUUAUUUUCUCCUUUCUCUCUCUUAUUUCUUGCUUGGCCGAAUGUUGAAGAAGAAG
Molecule: long non-coding RNA, 1371 nt
Filed under: Theobroma cacao (cacao)
Lineage: Eukaryota; Viridiplantae; Streptophyta; Magnoliopsida; Malvales; Malvaceae
Description: long non-coding RNA (TCAC_LNC000202)
Source: RNAcentral